CGGGGUAUAGCGCAGCUUGGUAGCGCGCUUCGUUCGGGACGAAGAGGCCGGGGGUUCAAAUCCCCCUACCCCGACAA
Molecule: transfer RNA, 77 nt
Filed under: Bifidobacterium asteroides
Lineage: Bacteria; Bacillati; Actinomycetota; Actinomycetes; Bifidobacteriales; Bifidobacteriaceae
Also listed under: 6 other names
Description: tRNA-Pro
Rfam family: tRNA
About the family: Transfer RNA (tRNA) molecules are approximately 80 nucleotides in length. Their secondary structure includes four short double-helical elements and three loops (D, anti-codon, and T loops).
Source: RNAcentral